Molecule: ribosomal RNA, 497 nt
Filed under: uncultured Flavobacteriaceae bacterium
Lineage: Bacteria; Pseudomonadati; Bacteroidota; Flavobacteriia; Flavobacteriales; Flavobacteriaceae
Description: bacterial SSU rRNA
Rfam family: Bacterial small subunit ribosomal RNA
Source: RNAcentral
AUUGGGUUUAAAGGGUCCGCAGGCGGUCUAUUAAGUCUGAGGUGAAAUCCUAUCGCUCAACAAUAGAACUGCCUUUGAUACUGCUAGACUUGAGUUAUUGUGAAGUAGUUAGAAUGUGUAGUGUAGCGGUGAAAUGCUUAGAUAUUACACAGAAUACCAAUUGCGAAGGCAGAUCACUAACAAUAUACUGACGCUCAGGGACGAAAGCGUGGGUAGCGAACAGGAUUAGAUACCCUGGUAGUCCACGCCGUAAACGAUGGAUACUAGCUGUAUGUCUACUUCAGGUAGAUGUGUGGCUAAGCGAAAGUGAUAAGUAUCCCACCUGGGGAGUACGAUCGCAAGAUUGAAACUCAAAGGAAUUGACGGGGGCCCGCACAAGCGGUGGAGCAUGUGGUUUAAUUCGAUGAUACGCGAGGAACCUUACCAGGGUUUAAAUGGAAAUUGACAGACGCCGAAAGGUGUCUUUCUUCGGACAAUUUUCAAGGUGCUGCAUGGUU